Molecule: ribosomal RNA, 498 nt
Filed under: Aleuroglyphus ovatus (brown legged grain mite)
Lineage: Eukaryota; Metazoa; Arthropoda; Arachnida; Sarcoptiformes; Acaridae
Description: SSU rRNA
Rfam family: Eukaryotic small subunit ribosomal RNA
Source: RNAcentral
GGCGCACCACCAGGAGUGGAGCCUGCGGCUUAAUUUGACUCAACACGGGGAAACUCACCCGGCCCGGACACUGUGAGGAUUGACAGGUUGAAGCCCUUUCUUGAUUCAGUGGGUGGUGGUGCAUGGCCGUUCUUAGUUGGUGGAGUGAUUUGUCUGGUUAAUUCCGAUAACGAACGAGACUCUAGCCUACUAAUUAGACCGAGGCAUCCUCGCGCUGCCUCGGCGCUUCCUAGAGGGACAGACGGCGUUUCAGCCGUAUGAGAAAGAGCAAUAACAGGUCUGUGAUGCCCUUAGAUGUCCGGGGCCGCACGCGCGCUACACUGAAGAGACCAGCGUGUCUGCGCGUCCUACUCCGAAAGGAGCGGGAAACCGAGUGAACCCUUUUCGUGCUUGGGAUUGGGGAUUGUAAUUGUUCUCCAUGAACGAGGAAUUCCCAGUAAGUGCAAGUCAUCAGCUUGCAUUGAUUACGUCCCUGCCCUUUGUACACACCGCCCGUCG